CGAAAGCCUGACGGAGCAACGCCGCGUGAGUGAUGAAGGUCUUCGGAUCGUAAAACUCUGUUGUUAGGGAAGAACAAAUUUGUUAGUAACUGAACAAGUCUUGACGGUACCUAACCAGAAAGCCACGGCUAACUACGUGCCAGCAGCCGCGGUAAUACGUAGGUGGCAAGCGUUAUCCGGAAUUAUUGGGCGUAAAGCGCGCGUAGGCGGUUUCUUAAGUCUGAUGUGAAAGCCCACGGCUCAACCGUGGAGGGUCAUUGGAAACUGGGAAACUUGAGUGCAGAAGAGGAGAGUGGAAUUCCAUGUGUAGCGGUGAAAUGCGCAGAGAUAUGGAGGAACACCAGUGGCGAAGGCGGCUCUCUGGUCUGUAACUGACGCUGAUGUGCGAAAGCGUGGGGAUCAAACAGGAUUAGAUACCCUGGUAGUCCACGCCGUAAACGAUGAGUGCUAAGUGUUAGGGGGUUCCCCCUUAAUGCUGCACUAACGCCAUUAAGCACUCCCCUGGGGAGUACGACCAGG
RNAcentral lists this ribosomal RNA (519 nucleotides) under Staphylococcus sp. RNAcentral describes it as "bacterial SSU rRNA". It matches the Rfam family "Bacterial small subunit ribosomal RNA", at positions 376 to 893 of the family's 1533-position model. Lineage: Bacteria; Bacillati; Bacillota; Bacilli; Caryophanales; Staphylococcaceae. The record is from RNAcentral.